GACGAACGCUGGCGGCGUGCCUAAUACAUGCAAGUCGAACGCUUCUUUCCUGCCGAGGGCUUGCACUCAAUUGGAAAGAGGAGGGGCGGACGGGGGAGUAACACUAGGGUAACCUACCCAUCAAAGGGGGAAAACACGUGGAAACAGGGGCUAAUACCGCAUAACAGUUUAUGCCGCAGGGCAUAAGGGUGAAGGGCGCUCUCGUGGGUGGAUGAUGGACGGACCCGCGGGGCAUUAGCUAGUUGGUGUGGUAACGGCUCACCAAGGCAACGAUGCAUAGCCGACCUGAGAGGGUGAUCGGCCACACUGGGACUGAGACACGGCCCAGACUCCUACGGGAGGCAGCAGUAGGGAAUCUUCCGCAAUGGACGAAAGUCUGACCGAGCAACGCCGCGUGAGUGAAGAAGGUUUUCGGAUCGUAAAACUCUGUUGUUAGAGAAGAACAAGGACGUUAGUAACUAAGCGUCCCCUGACGGUAUCUAACCAGAAAGCCACGGCUAACUACGUG
Molecule: ribosomal RNA, 508 nt
Filed under: uncultured bacterium
Lineage: Bacteria
Description: partial 16S ribosomal RNA
Rfam family: Bacterial small subunit ribosomal RNA
Source: RNAcentral